Molecule: long non-coding RNA, 452 nt
Organism: Salvelinus sp. IW2-2015
Lineage: Eukaryota; Metazoa; Chordata; Actinopteri; Salmoniformes; Salmonidae
Source: RefSeq, a predicted model, not a curated record
ACGUGCACCACCUGGGGUCCCGUGGACAGAGUAUGGGAAACCCUGCACUAGGCCUUCCAUGUAAUGAGUUUGACACCUCUGUGCUAGGCCCUCUGUGUUUACAUAUGUAAAAGAGCUCUUUAGGCAUCUCAUCAUGACACUGCUGAGUGUUAGGGAAUGGCGCACGCAAGGCAUUCACACACUGUAUGUUGUGAACUUGUGACAGGUUCAUUGGAGAGGAGUCGUCUGCAUCCGGGGAGAAAUGCAUCCUCACAGACAGCCCCUCCUGGAACAUCGAUGGCACCUGUAACUUUGUUCACGGUUUCUCCAUGGUUGCAGUUAGCGUCGGUUCGCUGUGAAGAAAGAGUUUGAGUUUGGACUGAUCUACCAUUGCUUCGAUGGAAUGUUAUACACAGCAAAGAAAAGGCCAAAGGGGCAUUUUGCACUGGUGUAAGGAUCAACGUUUCAAAGGA